RNAcentral lists this transfer RNA (82 nucleotides) under candidate division Zixibacteria bacterium HGW-Zixibacteria-1. RNAcentral describes it as "tRNA-Leu". It matches the Rfam family "tRNA". Rfam says of the family: Transfer RNA (tRNA) molecules are approximately 80 nucleotides in length. Their secondary structure includes four short double-helical elements and three loops (D, anti-codon, and T loops). The record is from RNAcentral. Lineage: Bacteria; Pseudomonadati; Candidatus Zixiibacteriota. RNAcentral also lists the same sequence under 1 other name.
GCGAAAGUGGCGGAACUGGUAGACGCGCUGGAUUUAGGAUCCAGUCCUUUACCGGGUGGGGGUUCGAGUCCCCCCUUUCGCA